GACGAACGCUGGCGGCGUGCUUAACACAUGCAAGUCGAACGGACAGGCCCUGCUUUUGUGGGGUGCUCGAGUGGCGCACGGGUGAGUAACACGUGAGUAACCUGCCCUUGACUUUGGGAUAACUUCAGGAAACUGGGGCUCAUACCGGAUAGGAGCUCCUGCUGCAUGUUGGUGAUUGGAAAGUUUCGGCGGUUGGGGAUGGACUGGCGGCUUAUCCGCUUGUUGGUGGGGUAGUGGCUUACCAAGGCUUUGACGGGUAGCCGGCCUGAGAGAGUGAACGGCCACAAGGGGACUGCGAGACGGAGCAGACUCCUACGGGAGGCAGCAGGCGGGAAUAUUGCAGAAUGGGCGGACGCCAGAUGCAGCAACGUCGCGUGCGGGAUGACGGCUUUCGGGGGGUAAACAGCUUUCGCCGGUGACGAAGCGUGAGUGACGGUAAUGGGUAAAGAAGCAACGGCUAACUACGUG
RNAcentral lists this ribosomal RNA (468 nucleotides) under uncultured bacterium. RNAcentral describes it as "partial 16S ribosomal RNA". It matches the Rfam family "Bacterial small subunit ribosomal RNA", at positions 28 to 507 of the family's 1533-position model. The record is from RNAcentral.